RNAcentral lists this ribosomal RNA (304 nucleotides) under Stutzerimonas stutzeri. Its description in RNAcentral is "Pseudomonas stutzeri partial 16S ribosomal RNA". It matches the Rfam family "Bacterial small subunit ribosomal RNA", at positions 1 to 307 of the family's 1533-position model. Lineage: Bacteria; Pseudomonadati; Pseudomonadota; Gammaproteobacteria; Pseudomonadales; Pseudomonadaceae. The record is from RNAcentral.
GAACUGAAGAGUUUGAUCAUGGCUCAGAUUGAACGCUGGCGGCAGGCCUAACACAUGCAAGUCGAGCGGAUGAAGGGGGCUUGCUCUCUGAUUCAGCGGCGGACGGGUGAGUAAUGCCUAGGAAUCUGCCUGGUAGUGGGGGACAACGUUUCGAAAGGAACGCUAAUACCGCAUACGUCCUACGGGAGAAAGCAGGGGACCUUCGGGCCUUGCGCUAUCAGAUGAGCCUAGGUCGGAUUAGCUAGUUGGUGAGGUAAUGGCUCACCAAGGCGACGAUCCGUAACUGGUCUGAGAGGAUGAUCAG